GACGAACGCUGGCGGCGUGCCUAAUACAUGCAAGUCGAGCGAAGUUUUUCUGGUGCUUGCACCGGAAAAACUUAGCGGCGAACGGGUGAGUAACACGUAAAGAACCUGCCUCAUAGACUGGGACAACUAUUGGAAACGAUAGCUAAUACCGGAUAACAGCAUUAACUGCAUGGUUGAUGUUUAAAAGUUGGUUUUGCUAACACUAUGAGAUGGCUUUGCGGUGCAUUAGCUAGUUGGUGGGGUAAAGGCCUACCAAGGCGACGAUGCAUAGCCGACCUGAGAGGGUGAUCGGCCACACUGGGACUGAGACACGGCCCAGACUCCUACGGGAGGCAGCAGUAGGGAAUCUUCCGCAAUGGGCGAAAGCCUGACGGAGCAACGCCGCGUGAGUGAAGAAGGAUUUCGGUUCGUAAAGCUCUGUUGUUAGGGAAGAAUGAUUGUGUAGUAACUAUACACAGCCCG
Molecule: ribosomal RNA, 462 nt
Filed under: Gemella haemolysans
Lineage: Bacteria; Bacillati; Bacillota; Bacilli; Caryophanales; Gemellaceae
Description: bacterial SSU rRNA
Rfam family: Bacterial small subunit ribosomal RNA
Source: RNAcentral